AAAGCGUAACAAGGUCUCCGUUGGUGAACCAGCGGAGGGAUCAUUACCGAGUUUACAACUCCCAAACCCCUGUGAACAUACCACUUGUUGCCUCGGCGGAUCAGCCCGCUCCCGGUAAAACGGGACGGCCCGCCAGAGGACCCCUAAACUCUGUUUCUAUAUGUAACUUCUGAGUAAAACCAUAAAUAAAUCAAAACUUUCAACAACGGAUCUCUUGGUUCUGGCAUCGAUGAAGAACGCAGCAAAAUGCGAUAAGUAAUGUGAAUUGCAGAAUUCAGUGAAUCAUCGAAUCUUUGAACGCACAUUGCGCCCGCCAGUAUUCUGGCGGGCAUGCCUGUUCGAGCGUCAUUUCAACCCUCAAGCACAGCUUGGUGUUGGGACUCGCGUUAAUUCGCGUUCCUCAAAUUGAUUGGCGGUCACGUCGAGCUUCCAUAGCGUAGUAGUAAAACCCUCGUUACUGGUAAUCGUCGCGGCCACGCCGUUAAACCCCAACUUCUGAAUGUUGACCUCGGAUCAGGUAGGAAUACCCGCUGAACUUAAGCAUAUCAAUAAGCGGAGGAAAAGAAACCAACAGGGAUUGCCCUAGUAACGGCGAGUGAAGCGGCAACAGCUCAAAUUUGAAAUCUGGCUCUCGGGCCCGAGUUGUAAUUUGUAGAGGAUACUUUUGAUGCGGUGCCUUCCGAGUUCCCUGGAACGGGACGCCAUAGAGGGUGAGAGCCCCGUCUGGUUGGAUGCCAAAUCUCUGUAAAGUUCCUUCAACGAGUCGAGUAGUUUGGGAAUGCUGCUCUAAAUGGGAGGUAUAUGUCUUCUAAAGCUAAAUACCGGCCAGAGACCGAUAGCGCACAAGUAGAGUGAUCGAAAGAUGAAAAGCACUUUGAAAAGAGAGUUAAAAAGUACGUGAAAUUGUUGAAAGGGAAGCGUUUAUGACCAGACUUGGGCUUGGUUAAUCAUCUGGGGUUCUCCCCAGUGCACUUUUCCAGUCCAGGCCAGCAUCAGUUUUCCCCGGGGGAUAAAGGCGGCGGGAAUGUGGCUCUCUUCGGGGAGUGUUAUAGCCCACCGUGUAAUACCCUGGGGGGGACUGAGGUUCGCGCAUCUGCAAGGAUGCUGGCGUAAUGGUCAUCAACGACCCGUCUUGAAACACGGACCAAGGAGUCGUCUUCGUAUGCGAGUGUUCGGGUGUCAAACCCCUACGCGUAAUGAAAGUGAACGCAGGUGAGAGCUUCGGCGCAUCAUCGACCGAUCCUGAUGUUCUCGGAUGGAUUUGAGUAAGAGCAUACGGGGCCGGACCCGAAAGAAGGUGAACUAUGCCUGUAUAGGGUGAAGCCAGAGGAAACUCUGGUGGAGGCUCGCAGCGGUUCUGACGUGCAAAUCGAUCGUCAAAUAUGGGCAUGGGGGCGAAAGACUAAUCGACUUCCAUGU
Molecule: small RNA, 1419 nt
Filed under: Fusarium oxysporum
Lineage: Eukaryota; Fungi; Ascomycota; Sordariomycetes; Hypocreales; Nectriaceae
Description: eukaryotic LSU rRNA
Rfam family: Eukaryotic large subunit ribosomal RNA (bases 504-1419)
Source: RNAcentral